CGGACAGACAGACAUGGCUCUAUCGACUCGGCUAUUAAUGCCGAAGAGUUACUCGAAGAGUAACUAGAGAGUCCAUAGCCGAGUCAAUAUAGCCAUGUCUGUCUGUGC
Molecule: microRNA precursor, 108 nt
Filed under: Drosophila guanche
Lineage: Eukaryota; Metazoa; Arthropoda; Insecta; Diptera; Drosophilidae
Source: RNAcentral